Molecule: ribosomal RNA, 511 nt
Filed under: uncultured Enterobacterales bacterium
Lineage: Bacteria; Pseudomonadati; Pseudomonadota; Gammaproteobacteria; Enterobacterales
Description: bacterial SSU rRNA
Rfam family: Bacterial small subunit ribosomal RNA
Source: RNAcentral
AUUGAACGCUGGCGGCAGGCCUAACACAUGCAAGUCGAACGGUAGCACAGAGGAGCUUGCUCCUUGGGUGACGAGUGGCGGACGGGUGAGUAAUGUCUGGGAAACUGCCCGAUGGAGGGGGAUAACUACUGGAAACGGUAGCUAAUACCGCAUAACGUCGCAAGACCAAAGAGGGGGGCCUUCGGGCCUCUUGCCAUCGGAUGUGCCCAGAUGGGAUUAGCUAGUAGGUGGGGUAACGGCUCACCUAGGCGACGAUCCCUAGCUGGUCUGAGAGGAUGACCAGCCACACUGGAACUGAGACACGGUCCAGACUCCUACGGGAGGCAGCAGUGGGGAAUAUUGCACAAUGGGCGCAAGCCUGAUGCAGCCAUGCCGCGUGUAUGAAGAAGGCCUUCGGGUUGUAAAGUACUUUCAGCGAGGAGGAAGGCAUUAAGGUUAAUAACCUUAGUGAUUGACGUUACUCGCAGAAGAAGCACCGGCUAACUCCGUGCCAGCAGCCGCGGUAAAAGGG